Molecule: unclassified non-coding RNA, 1127 nt
Filed under: Hevea brasiliensis (rubber tree)
Lineage: Eukaryota; Viridiplantae; Streptophyta; Magnoliopsida; Malpighiales; Euphorbiaceae
Source: RNAcentral
ACAAGAGACAUGAAAGGCCUGGCAUGAGAUACAUAAUAUCCUCAUGACUCCACCAAUAAUGAUACACUCAAAAAGAAUUAGGGAAAUACAGCUCAAUUAAAAGCACUUUGUUUUAAGGAUCAUUAAAAUACUCACACAUAAAGCAUAUUAAGUUUUUUUUCUUCAUAAAGUCCCUCUUAAUUUUGAUUAUGAUUUUAAAUAUCUCUGUCCUUAGUGCACUCUGGUGGUGGAACAGGGUACCUCGCUUUAUCAGUGCAAUAGUUAUAAACAGUGUAUUUUUGACGAACCCAACGAAGUCUCCUAUACUGUAAUGCAUCUAAAUCUUGGAAGGCCUUUUGAUCCCACCAUUUCAUGCCUUUAGUGUUACAAACUUGGACUUCUUGUGGCGUGGCAGCUUCACAUCCAUCCACGUGGAACGAUGUGUAUGACGCGGUGAAUGGGGCGUUGGCCCAAUUGGUUUUCUCAAGCCCACCUCUUGUGGCCCAAUCAUCUGCGUCCCAUAGACUCGAGUAUAUCUUCAUGGGCUGAUUGAAUGGAAAUUUCACACCAAGAUCUUUCGAAUUUUUGAAUGCUCUAAUUGGAACGUCGUCCACAAAGAUCACAAUGAGGUAUGUAUUCCAAAGAACAGAAUAAGAAUGGUAGCCCUUGGUUGGAUCAAACCAAAGAUAUAUUCUCUGUUCUCUGUUUCCUUUUCCUCCUGUGAAUACAUUUGUCUGCAAUAUGUAUGGCUGCCCAGUUCUGUUCCCCAAAAAUUCAAAAUCUAUCUCAUCGUGCUCUGCAUUAUUCGAUGACAGGUAAAAUGCAGUGACAACACCAGCUGAGUCUCCACCAACAAGCCUCAUUUUCAUACUGAAAUGCCCAAACAGAUAUGAUUUCUUUGACUGAAAUCCAGCUCCUGAAGAUCUGUCGAGAAUAAGAUCAGUAGUGGUACCACCAUUGAGGAACUUAAUAUGGUGACUAGCCCAACUUGGCUCAUAGUUUUUCCAAAAGGGCACAUCUACUGGCCUUCUAGGAUACCCACAAAAUACAACAAGUGACAAAUUAAUCAAAACAAUACUAAAUAAAACUCCUUUUAUGAUACCCAUGGUGAGAAAAACAAAUCCAAUCAGAGACCAGUGUUUGUGUAU